Entelurus aequoreus (snake pipefish) is the source of this 1033-nucleotide long non-coding RNA. RefSeq lists it as uncharacterized. Lineage: Eukaryota; Metazoa; Chordata; Actinopteri; Syngnathiformes; Syngnathidae. The transcript has 4 exons. The record is from RefSeq and is a predicted model, not a curated record.
UGUGCUUAUUAGCCGGUAGCAGGAAGUGGCCAGUAUACAAAACUUGAGAGGAAACAGAUUGUAUUUCUGCUCCAAAGCCAACUACCAGCGCCGGAUUUUGUUGUCAUUAAGCUGUGUGUGACUGUAGAAGAGUUGGCCAGGCUUCUCUUUUUGAUGGCGAGCUAAGGAAAAGAAGCAUCUAGUCCAAGGAUGGUUCUUGGAAGAUUCCAGCCAGGGACCCCACCACCCGUUCUGCAGGGCCGAUACGGGACUGACGGAGAAGCCUGAUGGUGAGAAUCCCUCAGCAGUGUUGCCCAAGGGUCUGACACCCAGGUACCGACCGCUCUGUCUUCUUGUCGUGGUCGUGACGAAAAGGAAAUGUGCGUAUCCGUCAACAAAGGAGAGGUUUGAACCCUGAAGCCGGAGAGAAGGAAGCGAGGGUUGUGACAUUGAGGUGUAAUGGACACUGACGGCCCGGUUGUGCUUGGCUGCAAAGAGCACAUUUGACGGCGACUCAUUAAUUACCAGGAGCAAGGCAGCCAUCUGAAGCCUUCAUGUUGGCUGCCCAUCACCUGCUGCCGCUUACAAAUCAGCUCCUGGAAUGCAGAGAAUGGCAGCCACUGUCAGACUGUCAGCACCGCUUUGUCCUGGCGGGGAAGAACAGGCCAGAUUAGCCCAGCUACUGUUGGUCCGGGCCAGAACAGGACUUGUUACGACCCAGUGAUGAGCGGGGAAAGGUCAAACAAAAAAGUACAAAUACAAGAUUUCAGGAUCUGUUUCUUGACAAACCACGCAAUGUAGGCUUGUACGGUUUACUGGUACUAAAAGUACAAAUCUAGUGAAGUUGUGUAAAUGGUAAAUAAAACACAUUACAACAAAUUAUUUUCAACUUAUAUUCAAUUGAAUAGACUGCAAAGACAAAAUAUUUCAUGUUCACACUGAGAAACUUUGUUAUUUUUUGCAAAUAUUAGCUCAUUUGGAAGUUGAUGCAAAAAAAGCUGGCACAAGUGGCAAAAAAGAGUGAGAAAGUUGAGGAUAGCUCAUCAAACACUUA